RNAcentral lists this ribosomal RNA (505 nucleotides) under uncultured bacterium. RNAcentral describes it as "partial 16S ribosomal RNA". It matches the Rfam family "Bacterial small subunit ribosomal RNA", at positions 28 to 507 of the family's 1533-position model. The record is from RNAcentral.
GACGAACGCUGGCGGCGUGCCUAAUACAUGCAAGUAGAACGCACAGUUUAUACCGUAGCUUGCUACACCAUAGACUGUGAGUUGCGAACGGGUGAGUAACGCGUAGGUAACCUGCCUGGUAGCGGGGGAUAACUAUUGGAAACGAUAGCUAAUACCGCAUAAUAUUGAUUAUUGCAUGAUAAUUGAUUGAAAGAUGCUAUUGCAUCACUACCAGAUGGACCUGCGUUGUAUUAGCUAGUAGGUGAGGUAACGGCUCACCUAGGCGACGAUACAUAGCCGACCUGAGAGGGUGAUCGGCCACACUGGGACUGAGACACGGCCCAGACUCCUACGGGACGCAGCAGUAGGGAAUCUUCGGCAAUGGACGAAAGUCUGACCGAGCAACGCCGCGUGAGUGAAGAAGGUUUUCGGAUCGUAAAGCUCUGUUGUAAGAGAAGAACGGGUGUGAGAGUGGAAAGUUCACACUGUGACGGUAUCUUACCAGAAAGGGACGGCUAACUACGUG